GAUGAAGAACGUAGCGAAAUGCGAUACGUAGUGUGAAUUGCAGAAUUCAGUGAAUCAUCGAAUCUUUGAACGCACAUUGCACCUCUCGGUAUUCCGGGAGGUAUGCCUGUUCGAGCGUCAUUUGUACCCUCAAGCUCUGCUUGGUGUUGGGUGUUUGUUCCGCCUCUGUGUGUGAACUCGCCUCAAAACAAUUGGCAGCCGGCGUACUUGUUUCGGAGCGCAGCACAUUUUGCGAUCCAGAUCAACGUACAGCGGCAUCCAAGAAGCCUUAUUUAACGCUCUUGACCUCGGAUCAGGUAGGGAUACCAGCUGAACUUAAGCAUAUCAAUAAGCGGAGGA
RNAcentral lists this unclassified non-coding RNA (339 nucleotides) under soil metagenome. RNAcentral's name for it is "partial contains 5.8S ribosomal RNA, internal transcribed spacer 2, and large subunit ribosomal RNA". The stretch from base 1 to 120 matches the Rfam family "5.8S ribosomal RNA", at positions 35 to 154 of the family's 154-position model. The record is from RNAcentral.